GGGAGCCAUUACAGGUGUUGCAUGGCUGUCGUCAGCUCGUGUCGUGAGAUGUUCGGUUAAGUCCGCUAACGAGCGCAACCCUCGCUGUGUGUUAUAUGUGUCACACAGGACUGCUGGUAUUAAGCCGGAGGAAGGUGGGGACGACGUCAAGUCAGCAUGACCUUUAUAUCCAGGGCUACACACACGCUACAAUGGUCAGUACAAUGGGUUGCCAAGCCGCGAGGCGGAGCCAAUCCUAAAAAGCUGGCCUCAGUUCAGAUUGCAGUCUGAAACUCGACUGCAUGAAGUCGGAGUUGCUAGUAAACGCAGGUCAGCUAUACUGCGUUGAAUACGUUCCCGGGGCUU
Molecule: ribosomal RNA, 345 nt
Filed under: uncultured Anaerolineaceae bacterium
Lineage: Bacteria; Bacillati; Chloroflexota; Anaerolineae; Anaerolineales; Anaerolineaceae
Description: bacterial SSU rRNA
Rfam family: Bacterial small subunit ribosomal RNA
Source: RNAcentral